RNAcentral lists this long non-coding RNA (344 nucleotides) under Setaria viridis. RNAcentral describes it as "long non-coding RNA (SVIR_LNC007013)". The record is from RNAcentral. Lineage: Eukaryota; Viridiplantae; Streptophyta; Magnoliopsida; Poales; Poaceae.
UCAUCAUCCGCCCCGCCAGCUUGACAUGCAAGCCGGUAAUCGCUGAGCCACACUCCAGGAUUCGUCUCCCCUGAGUAUUUGGCUAUACUCGUGGGUUGCCUGAAGCGCGGCGGAAAAGGCGCGUUCAGGAUGCGCGUAGAGAAGGCCCGGGGCCCAGCCGAACCAGGGAUCGGGCUGCGGUCUUCCCCGCUGUCGUAGCGCCCGCCACGGUGGACGUGGUUGUUGGGAUACGAGGUAGGCUACACUAGCGCAAAUCAAAAUUUCUACCGCGUAAAACCAGGAAGAACUGUCAUAUAAGGAUCACGGGAUUACCACUCGAUGCACUACUGGUGCGGAAGAUGUAG